This 246-nucleotide ribosomal RNA is filed under the name uncultured bacterium. RNAcentral's name for it is "partial 16S ribosomal RNA". It matches the Rfam family "Bacterial small subunit ribosomal RNA", at positions 523 to 769 of the family's 1533-position model. The record is from RNAcentral.
AUACGGAGGGUGCAAGCGUUAUUCGGAAUUACUGGGCGUAAAGCGCGUGUAGGCGGGAAAGCAAGUCUGAUGUGGAAGCCCUGGGCUUAACCUGGGAAGUGCAUUGGAAACUGUUUUCUUGAGUACUGGAGAGGAAGGGAGAAUUCCCGGUGUAGAGGUGAAAUUCGUAGAGAUCGGGAGGAAUAUCAGUGGCGAAGGCGCCCAUCUGGACGGUAACUGACGCUGAGACGCGAAAGCGUGGGGAGC